Molecule: ribosomal RNA, 1064 nt
Filed under: Boana pulchella (Montevideo treefrog)
Lineage: Eukaryota; Metazoa; Chordata; Amphibia; Anura; Hylidae
Description: partial 16S ribosomal RNA
Rfam family: Bacterial large subunit ribosomal RNA
Source: RNAcentral
ACUUGAUAAAAGAAUUUUAGUUCUACCUAAAGCCUAAAUAAAGUUUUAUAAACUAACAUUCAUGCUUUAGAGUUAUUCAAAUAAGGUACAGCCUAUUUGAAUAAGGAAACAACCUAGACUAAUGGGUAAGACAUCUACAGUGUAUUAAAGUGGGCCUAAAAGCAGCCACCUUCAAUAAUAGCGUCAAAGCUUACCUAUACAAGUACAUUCAAUUUUUUAUCCUAAUCCAAACCCUUUAUUUUCAUCAAGUAAUUCUAUAUAACUAUAGAACAUAAAAUGUUAAAACUAGUAACAAGAAGUAAACCCUUCUCUUAAAUGCAAGUGUAGGCCAGGAAGGAUAAACCACUGUCAAUUAACACCAAUGAUUUUUAAUUAACAACACUACAAGAGAACCCUAAUAAAACAAGUGUUAAACUAACACAAGAGCAUUUCAAGAAAGAUUAAAAGAAAAAGAAGGAACUCGGCAAACACCAACCCCGCCUGUUUACCAAAAACAUCGCCUCUUGACAAAUAUAAGAGGUCCAGCCUGCCCAGUGACCUAGUUCAACGGCCGCGGUAUCCUAACCGUGCGAAGGUAGCGUAAUCACUUGUUCUUUAAAUGGGGACUAGUAUGAAUGGCAUCACGAGGGUUACACUGUCUCCUUUUUUUGAUCAGUGAAACUAAUCUUCCCGUGAAGAAGCGGGAAUAUCUUUAUAAGACGAGAAGACCCUAUGGAGCUUUAAACAAAUUAACACCUGCUGCCCGAGAUUGUUCUUUCAGAAAUAUAAAACAUAGCAUAGCAUGAUGAUUAAUAGUUUUUGAUUGGGGUGAUCACGGAGUAAAAAACAACCUCCAUGCCGAAAGGGGUUUUACCCUGAGCAAAAAACCACAAUUUUAAGCACUAAAAAAUUAACGUUUAUUGACCCAGUAUAAUGAUCAACGAACCAAGUUACCCUAGGGAUAACAGCGCAAUCCACUUCAAGAGCUCCUAUCGACAAGUGGGUUUACGACCUCGAUGUUGGAUCAGGGUAUCCCAGUGGUGCAGCCGCUACUAACGGUUCGUUUGUUCAACGAUUAAAACCCU